This 76-nucleotide transfer RNA is filed under the name Staphylococcus aureus. RNAcentral's name for it is "tRNA-Thr". It matches the Rfam family "tRNA". Rfam says of the family: Transfer RNA (tRNA) molecules are approximately 80 nucleotides in length. The record is from RNAcentral. RNAcentral also lists the same sequence under 1 other name. Lineage: Bacteria; Bacillati; Bacillota; Bacilli; Caryophanales; Staphylococcaceae.
GCCGGCCUAGCUCAAUUGGUAGAGCAGCUGACUUGUAAUCAGUAGGUUGGGGGUUCAAGUCCUCUGGCCGGCACCA